Molecule: long non-coding RNA, 212 nt
Filed under: Lathyrus oleraceus (garden pea)
Lineage: Eukaryota; Viridiplantae; Streptophyta; Magnoliopsida; Fabales; Fabaceae
Description: Pisum sativum (pea) long non-coding RNA (PSAT_LNC000326)
Source: RNAcentral
UUUACAUACCGAUAUCUAAGCGAAUUAGCCAGACAUGCUAAACAAACUUAAAUACUUAUCAUGCAUAAACAGACUCAUCCCAGGCAAAUAAUAUAAAUAAAUAAUAAAAUAAAGCAUUAAAUAAUAAUUAAAGAACCUGAAUAAGUUAAACAGUAGUCUUGAACACUCCACCACAAGCCGGUAGGAUUUGUUCUUGGAUUCUUCAAUUAAAC